GAUCAUUACAGCGAAGCGGCGCGAGCCGCCUUUCGAACCACCGCGUACCGAACCCCCCACGUUGCCUCGGCGGGCGCCGGGCGCCCCGCGCCCGCCCCGCCGAACGGCCCCCCAGCAAGACCCCUUCCGUCGAGAUGGCGUCGUCUGAACCCUCCGGGGAAAACGUUUCUGAAACGAAAAACACAACUUUCAACAAUGGAUCUCUUGGCUCCGGCAUCGAUGAAGAACGCAGCGAAACGCGAUAGCUAGUGUGAAUUGCAGAUUUCAGUGAAUCAUCGAGUCUUUGAACGCACAUUGCGCCUCUUGGUAUUCCUCGAGGCAUGCCUGUUCGAGCGUCGUUACGCCCCUCAAGCGCGAGCUUGGUGUUGGGGACCGCCCCUGAGACACGGCGGCGGCCCCGGAAUGCAUCGGCGGUGCUGGUCCCAGCCCGGAGCGCAGCAGACAUGCGGCUCCGCGGGCGGGGCCGGCGCCCGCCGGACAAACGACGAGACCCCUCCACAAGUCGACCUCGA
Molecule: unclassified non-coding RNA, 512 nt
Filed under: leaf metagenome
Description: partial contains internal transcribed spacer 1, 5.8S ribosomal RNA, and internal transcribed spacer 2
Rfam family: 5.8S ribosomal RNA (bases 185-338)
Source: RNAcentral